AUGAAUCAACAGUGGUGAAUCGAAGUUGAAAAGAUCGCUCUUGGAAUUCGGUUUAAAAAAAACUUUAAAUAAAUAUUUAGUAGUUUGAAAUAACAUGGAUCGAUUAUAACUUCAUUUACUAUUCAAAUUAUGUUAUUCCCACAGUAAUAUUCAAUCCAGGGCGUUUGUAUCAUCAUGUUUCGUCCCCCUAGAGCCCCUUCAUAUUUUCACUUGACCUCCGCC
Molecule: long non-coding RNA, 222 nt
Filed under: Mytilus galloprovincialis (Mediterranean mussel)
Lineage: Eukaryota; Metazoa; Mollusca; Bivalvia; Mytilida; Mytilidae
Source: RNAcentral